AAAUUGAAGAGUUUGAUCAUGGCUCAGAUUGAACGCUGGCGGCAGGCCUAACACAUGCAAGUCGAACGGUAACAGGAAGCAGCUUGCUUCUUUGCUGACGAGUGGCGGACGGGUGAGUAAUGUCUGGGAAACUGCCUGAUGGAGGGGGAUAACUACUGGAAACGGUAGCUAAUACCGCAUAACGUCGCAAGAC
This 193-nucleotide ribosomal RNA is filed under the name Escherichia coli. RNAcentral's name for it is "partial 16S ribosomal RNA". It matches the Rfam family "Bacterial small subunit ribosomal RNA", at positions 1 to 187 of the family's 1533-position model. The record is from RNAcentral. Lineage: Bacteria; Pseudomonadati; Pseudomonadota; Gammaproteobacteria; Enterobacterales; Enterobacteriaceae.